CUGUGAUGUCAUGACUGAGCAUAGGUUACGGGGAUAUGGUGUCUUUGUCACAGUCCAUAUCUAUCCAUACUCUCUCUCUUCGUGUUCUGAUUAGUCUAGUUCUGGCUGGUUGUGCUUUCAUUCUUGCUAAUGAGUUCAUCCAUCCUGUUGAUGCUGAUUCCAUCACAAUCACCUUCUUCAGGCCUUCAAUUUGAACUAAAGAUCUUGUUGAUUCAGUUGUUAAUACUAGAACUAGCAUCUUUGGGCUUGCCAUGUGGACUGAAGACUAGGGUCUCUCCAGGAAUCCUCCAGGCCUCCAGUGCUAGACUGGGACUGCUGAGGUAUGUGGUCUUGUAGUCCAAGCAACCACUGGAUUCUUAGCAUCCACAAUGUGAGAUGGCCACUGUUGAACUACUCUGACAGAAUGGAAAUAAAGUUACAACUUGUAUUAACAUUCAAUAAAUGUGAGAUAGCACAUUUGUAA
This is a long non-coding RNA of Mastomys coucha (southern multimammate mouse), 463 nucleotides long. RefSeq lists it as uncharacterized. The transcript has 3 exons. NCBI's taxonomy places the organism in Eukaryota, Metazoa, Chordata, Mammalia, Rodentia, Muridae. The record is from RefSeq and is a predicted model, not a curated record.